Molecule: ribosomal RNA, 460 nt
Filed under: uncultured bacterium
Lineage: Bacteria
Description: partial 16S ribosomal RNA
Rfam family: Bacterial small subunit ribosomal RNA
Source: RNAcentral
CCUACGGGAGGCAGCAGUGAGGAAUAUUGGUCAAUGGGCUUACGCCUGAACCAGCCAAGUCGCGUGAGGGAAGACUGCCCUAUGGGUUGUAAACCUCUUUUGUCAGGGAGCAACGCCGGCUACGUGUAGCCGGACUGAGAGUACCUGAAGAAAAAGCAUCGGCUAACUCCGUGCCAGCAGCCGCGGUAAUACGGAGGAUGCGAGCGUCAUCCGGAUUUAUUGGGUUUAAAGGGUGCGUAGGCGGAAUGCCAAGUCAGCGGUAAAAUCGCGGGGCUCAACCUCGCUCCGCCGUUGAAACUGGCGGUCUUGAGUGGGCGAGAAGUAUGCGGAAUGCGUGGUGUAGCGGUGAAAUGCAUAGAUAUCACGCAGAACUCCGAUUGCGAAGGCAGCAUACCGGCGCCCAACUGACGCUGAAGCACGAAAGCGUGGGUAUCGAACAGGAUUAGAUACCCUAGUAGUC